This 301-nucleotide ribosomal RNA is filed under the name uncultured bacterium. RNAcentral's name for it is "partial 16S ribosomal RNA". It matches the Rfam family "Bacterial small subunit ribosomal RNA", at positions 509 to 807 of the family's 1533-position model. The record is from RNAcentral.
CAGCCGCCACGGUAAUACGAAGGGUGCAAGCGUUAAUCGGAAUUACUGGGCGUAAAGCGUGCGUAGGCGGUGGUUUAAGUCCGUUGUGAAAGCCCUGGGCUCAACCUGGGAAUUGCAGUGGAUACUGGGUCACUAGAGUGUGGUAGAGGAUAGUGGAAUUUCCGGUGUAGCAGUGAAAUGCGUAGAGAUCGGAAGGAACAUCUGUGGCGAAGGCGACUAUCUGGGCCAACACUGACACUGAGGCACGAAAGCGUGGGGAGCAAACAGGAUUAGAUACCCGCGUAGUCCCUGUCUCUUAUAC